UACAGAGGUCUCAAGCGUUGUUCGGAUUCAUUGGGCGUAAAGGGUGCGUAGGUGGCGCUGUAAGUCGGGUGUGAAAUUUCGGAGCUUAACUCCGAAACUGAAUUCGAUACUGCGGUGCUUGAGGACUGGAGAGGAGACUGGAAUUCAUGGUGUAGCAGUGAAAUGCGUAGAGAUCAUGAGGAAGACCAGUGGCGAAGGCGGGUCUCUGGACAGUUCCUGACACUGAGGCACGAAGGCCAGGGGAGCAAACGGG
Molecule: ribosomal RNA, 253 nt
Filed under: uncultured bacterium
Lineage: Bacteria
Description: partial 16S ribosomal RNA
Rfam family: Bacterial small subunit ribosomal RNA
Source: RNAcentral